CUCUCUCUCUCUCUCUCUCUCUCUCUUCUCUCUUCUCUCUCUCUAACAGCAUUCAUUCACAUUGAAUCCUCGAAAAAUCUGCGACCAAAAUUCGAGAAUUUAAUUCUCCAAGGCAUUUUGUUUUUUUACAGAGAAAUAUAUAUAUAUAAAUAUGGUGAUGAUGGGGUUGGAGAAAUUGAUGACGAGCUUGAAAUCGAAAAUAAAGGGAAUAAAAAAAAGGAAGCAAGAACCAGAUUAUUACAACAAGAUAGAUAAGAGUGAAAGCAUGAGGGUCGAAAUAAGGAGCAGAAAAGCCAGAAAACUCAUUCAAGAUACCCUCAAAAUCGCCGAUUCUCCUAAAACCAGAAGCUACGUAUAAUUCCUUGUCAUUUUUUAUUAUAUACAUAGUAAAUAAAUUAAUAAUUGAGCUUGUUAUAUACGGUCAGUUUGAUGCUACACCCGGUAAACUACAUAUAAUAAGUAGUUUUUUUCGCGUUUGAAUUUAUAUAUAAUUAGUCGCAUAUAUAUGAAGUUUAAUAGGUGUAGCCUACAAUAAACUAUGUAAUAUGCGCUCUUAUUUAUACAUUUAUGCUUAAUUGAUAUUUGCUUCUCU
This is a non-coding RNA of Erythranthe guttata (spotted monkey flower), 592 nucleotides long. Lineage: Eukaryota; Viridiplantae; Streptophyta; Magnoliopsida; Lamiales; Phrymaceae. The record is from RefSeq and is a predicted model, not a curated record.